GUUGUUCGGAAUUACUGGGCGUAAAGCGCACGUAGGCGGAUUGGAAAGUUAGAGGUGAAAUCCCGGGGCUCAACCCCGGAACUGCCUUUAAAACUCCCAGUCUAGAGGAUAGGAGAGGUCAGUGGAAUACCGAGUGUAGAGGUGAAAUUCGUAGAUAUUCGGUGGAACACCAGUGGCGAAGGCGACUGACUGGACUAUUUCUGACGCUGAGGUGCGAAAGUGUGGGGAGCAAACAGGAUUAGAUACCCUGGUAGUCCACACCGUAAACGAUGAGAGCUAGUUGUCAGCAAGCAUGCUUGUUGGUGACGCAGCUAACGCAUUAAGCUCUCCGCCUGGGGAGUACGGUCGCAAGAUUAAAACUCAAAGAAAUUGACGGGGGCCCGCACAAGCGGUGGAGCAUGUGGUUUAAUUCGAAGCAACGCGCAGAACCUUACCCACCUUUGACAUCCUGUGACAGCUCCAGAGAUGGAGUUUUCUUCGGACACAGUGACAGGUGCUGCAUGGCU
RNAcentral lists this ribosomal RNA (506 nucleotides) under uncultured Hirschia sp. RNAcentral's name for it is "bacterial SSU rRNA". It matches the Rfam family "Bacterial small subunit ribosomal RNA", at positions 540 to 1050 of the family's 1533-position model. Lineage: Bacteria; Pseudomonadati; Pseudomonadota; Alphaproteobacteria; Hyphomonadales; Hyphomonadaceae. The record is from RNAcentral.